CUUAGCAUGUGAGGAUCGAGAGAGAGAGAGAGAGAGACCCACACACAAAGCAUAAAUCAUCACAGAUCCAAAGAUAAUAGAAAGUGGCAGUCCCUGCAGUCUGCUAAAUCAGGCUCCUGCUUCCUCAAUCCGUUUUGUAAUUGCGCAGAGUGCUGAUCGGGUUGUUUUGGGACGAAGAGAGGGAAAGAAGAGAGCUAAAUGAAAACAGGCACAAUUGGAAAGAGGCUGUGUGCACUACAGUCACAUCGGCCGAAACUAAAGAGUGAGUGAACUUUUCGCCGAGCAAGCUGGGGGUCUUGGCUCGUUUGCGGAUUCUUGGCUCGUUUGCGGCCAGAGGGAUUGCUUUACUUUGUGGAAGGGUUGUUAGAUGAAGUUUGUGUGUCUAACGGUGGAGGGAUGCAGACCCUGUGGAUUCAACAGAGGUGUCGUGGCAGGGUCUGCUGAAGCAUCACCCAGGUGGGUCAGCUACUUACGCUGGAGAGAAACUGAGAAACGUCGGACAAAGCGAUGGGCCCUGAUGAAGAUCUUCUGGCUUGUCUGACAGACGGACUUUCUCCCUGGCUGUACCGUACCAUCGAUCCGCCCUCCUCUCAAGCCAUACUGAAUUUUACAAACUGACUCAACUCCAUUCCUUUUCCAUCUUUAAGUUGUUGUUCAUUGAUGAAUAAUGUUUAUUUUUAUUUUUUAAAGAGGACCACAAUGGAAUUAUGUUUUUAAACAUCUUUGUCUUUUCCUUAAAUAUAAAUGCAUUGUAUCUACAUGUUUAAAAAUAUAAAUCAGGAAAUCGGAGUGGUAUGUCAGGUAGCCUUGAGGUUAGAGAGGCCCCCCGAUGUUGCAUCCUACCAGCUCUCACAAUUAGACUUUAAUGCAUGUUUCUCAAACAUCAAAUUUCAAAGUUGUUCCAAACGUCAUAUUUCAACGUUUUUAAGAUUAAGUUUCAUCAUUAACUCUGAUUUUUUAAGGUUAGGGUUAAGUUCUGGCAUUAACUCAAACUUCUUAAAGUUUGGCAUUAAUUCCGAAUGGCUAAGGUAAGGGUUAAGGUUUGGGAUAGGUUUAAAACAAAAACAAAAAUUAUAUCACUAGAUUUGAAAUUGCAACUUUAGAAUCAGAGGCAGAUGCUUACACCCAUCUGCCAUCCCCAUCCAUCCAGCAAAACCAAAACCUACUUCAGGAUAACAGCACUCAACGUUGUCAAUAGUGCUGGUUUCCACUUCAUCUCCUGACAUCCGCAGACAUAGAUGGACCUCGAAUACUGACUUGAAUCACGGGUGACCUGGAUGGGUGUGAAAAGCUGGGGUCAAGUCAAUAAUUCUGCUAUUAGCAUCAAUUUGAUGUGGAUUUGAGGGACUCGAUUUGAUCAUACUCUAGGUUGCGUGAUGUAGAUACAAAUUGGAGGCAAAAUCUAGGCACUUGCUCUCUCUCUUUGUGUAUGUUAUCUUUUUAUACCCAGGACAUCAUUUGAUUCAUCUCCUCUAAACUAAAUCCUGGCUGUUGAGAGUCUGAUACUUACCAGAAUUAUGAAUCCUUCAUCCCUAUUGAAAGCUGGGAUAAAGAGACACAAGGGGUUGGAGUUGGAGUGGGGUUUGCUCACACCCCUUGGUAGGCCUGCUGGAUGCAAAGACAAUUACUGUUCUGAGUUAUGGGCACUGCUCUCUCUCUCUCUCUCUAGGGAGAGGAGACAAACUGCACUAAGAUAACGUGGGCUGUGCGGUCUUCUGCUAAUCCUCCUAAACUAGGCCAGAAAGCCUCUUCCAGGAAUGCAGAGGUAUUGUGAGGAUAAAUUGUUAGGAACUUUUGUUGUUUCUCUGUUCACUUGACUACCCAAAGAAUAUUGGUCUGUAGUGUAGUGCAUUCAGGGUGGCAAGGAGUUUGAGUUUCAUAUGCACAGGCACUACUGUAAACAGUGCUGGUAAGAUAAGAACAUGUUAUUUUCACCUGUAUUGCAAUAGGUUACUUGUUAUUUCAUACAACGGGUGGGUCUAACUCUGGAUACUGAUUGGUUAAAACCAGUGUCUAUUCCAGAAGUUACCUGCAGCUAAAUCUAUGAUCCAUCCUUCUGUGCAAACCACUGUCUCAUCAGCUCAGCCAGGCAAUUUAUAAACUUGAUCUCCACUGUAAAAAGCAUCUGGACAUUAUCUCCCAUUUCCUUUAGACUAGAAAUUGUUUUUCAACAGCGAAGAUUUGCAACAUAGUUUCAAUAUGGAAAUUCGAUCUCCAGCUGUCCCAUAGUAAUGAACAUGUCGGGAGUCGAGAUGAGACAGACAGGCAGCCAGCUUUUCACCGCCAGCCGAAAUCAUGAAUCAACACAAGUUUUAUGUAUAUACUGUAUACAAAGAAAUGUCAAUAGAAAAACAGUAAAUGUAGCUAGUUUGCUGUCAUUCCAGCUUCAGUUUGAAGUGAUUGUGUUAGCUGUGUAGUUGGCAAGCUCUUCUGAACAUUGUCCUGUCUAGAGAGCAAAUUUUUUAUGCCAGGUGAAAUCGCGCAUCAUUAGGUAUGGAUGUUUGAUGUGACCGUGUUAGCCGAACUUGGCUAGCUACCAAACAAGAGAUAAUAAUGUUGCCAGAACGAUUGGGUCGCGUCCAUAGAUUUAGAUCAAAAGACUUAACGACUGGGUCGUAUCUGGCAACCAUAGAACAAACAACCAGCCGGCUUGGGUAGCAACCCUAGAUUUGUUUCGGGACUAGAUCUCAAGGAAAGAUGAAAUAGUAUGACUAAACGUAUCAAAAUAUAUAUUUUUCAUAUGUUGGUAACCGGGUUGUAUAAAAGUGAUAAUGCCCAAGAAGCCGGUGUUUGGAGGAUAUAUUGGCACGUUUUGCCAGUCCUCAACUUCAUCUCGGGCCUAUCAACACCCGUGCCAAUAUCUUCCAAUCACCAGCUUCUCGGGAAUUAUCACUUACUUGUAGUCAACCAGUACAUGACAAUAAAUAGCAAAGCUGUAGAAUUAUACAAAGUUACAUAAAUAUAUUACUAUCUUCAA
Molecule: long non-coding RNA, 2977 nt
Organism: Oncorhynchus nerka (sockeye salmon)
Lineage: Eukaryota; Metazoa; Chordata; Actinopteri; Salmoniformes; Salmonidae
Exons: 2
Source: RefSeq, a predicted model, not a curated record